Molecule: long non-coding RNA, 359 nt
Organism: Micropterus dolomieu (smallmouth bass)
Lineage: Eukaryota; Metazoa; Chordata; Actinopteri; Centrarchiformes; Centrarchidae
Exons: 3
Source: RefSeq, a predicted model, not a curated record
AGGAAAACAAAGAGUCAAGGCUUAUAAGGGUAAGGGCAGCAGGGUGUGGUGAGUUGCAAUCCAAGGACCCUGCUGGAGCUCCUGAAUACAGCUUCCUGUAGGUGGCAAUCUCGAUGUCCAGGGCCAUCUUGACAUUUAGGAGGUCCUGGUACUCCCGGAGAUGGCGGGCCAUCUCGUCCUUCAUGUUGUGAAUGUCCUCCUCCAGACGGCCGAUGGUGUCCUGGUAACCACCUGACUCCAUGGAGAAGUUCUCCUCCAUCUCUCUCAUCUGGCGCUCCAUGGACUCAUUCUGGGGCAGCAGCAAAAGUGACAGUUUAUCAGUGAAAAAAACUUUGGUUAUUAAAUUGCGUUCAAACGCA